UAAUAAUUAGCGUUGAUACAAUAUGAGGUAUAAAUGGUUUGAUUUAAAUUAAGAAUGUGUGGUAUGUUUUUUAAAUAAGUGAAAAUAGAACAUAAAAAGUCUUAAAAGCAUUUGUUAUACUUAUGUAAUUUGUCAUUUGACUUUAUGUAAUGGUUGUUAAAAUAUUAUUUAAGUAGAUUUCACGUCAGCACGAAUUUACUACGAAUUCUGCUUUUAAGACUAUAUAACACAAACAUUAAAUUGUCGCCUCUGCAGUACCGUAUUUGCCUCUAGGGGUCAAUACGCACAGGCGGGAUUCAGGCUGAAACAUGAGAAGAAACUCAACGGUCGUCGGACGUCAACCUCGUGCAGAUGCUGACACGCAGGCUCGUGCGGCGCCACUUUCAACCGCGACGAAAUAUUUCUGUCAGCAUCAGACAUCAGAAACAUCAGUCUGAGGAAUCUCUGGUGACUCUUCAACACACUACAGUUCUUCGUUGCAUCCCUGUUCUUCUUGGAGACAAGCCCUCAGAUUUUUUCAAACUCUGCUUUAACACAAAAGAAAAUAUUUUCAAGAUUUUGUGAUUCUUUUGAAAUCACAAACUUGAAAAGUGAAAUCUUCUUCUGGACCUUUUGGUGACUCCCCAUUUGGGAAA
Triplophysa rosa is the source of this 635-nucleotide long non-coding RNA. RefSeq lists it as uncharacterized. NCBI's taxonomy places the organism in Eukaryota, Metazoa, Chordata, Actinopteri, Cypriniformes, Nemacheilidae. The record is from RefSeq and is a predicted model, not a curated record. The transcript has 3 exons.